GAUGAACGCUAGCUACAGGCUUAACACAUGCAAGUCGCGGGGCAGCAUGGAUGUCCUUUCGGGGACAUCUGAUGGCGACCGGCGUACGGGUGAGUAACGCGUAUCCAACCUGCCCUUUACAACGGGACAGCCCGUCGAAAGGCGGAUUAAUACCGUAUGUUGUCAUGUUGAUGCAUAUUUUCAUGACCAAAGGCUUCGGCCGGUAAAGGAUGGGGAUGCGUCUGAGUAGCUUGCCGGCGGGGUAACGGCCCACCGGGGCGACGAGCAGUAGGGGUUCUGAGAGGAAGGUCCCCCACAUUGGAACUGAGACACGGUCCAA
This 319-nucleotide ribosomal RNA is filed under the name uncultured bacterium. Its description in RNAcentral is "bacterial SSU rRNA". It matches the Rfam family "Bacterial small subunit ribosomal RNA", at positions 28 to 334 of the family's 1533-position model. The record is from RNAcentral.